This is a long non-coding RNA of Oncorhynchus keta (chum salmon), 1243 nucleotides long. RefSeq lists it as uncharacterized. The record is from RefSeq and is a predicted model, not a curated record. The transcript has 3 exons. Lineage: Eukaryota; Metazoa; Chordata; Actinopteri; Salmoniformes; Salmonidae.
CAUCCCAUUUGAUUCUAUAGUAUUCUUAUUAGUGCUGGAUAUACAGCAGGAACAGGAACUUUUAAUUUGUAUUCAUUGGGACUGUAUACCCCUUCCUUUUUAUGCUGAAGAGGAGAGGAUACUCAACCCAAUCAAGAAAUGAAGGAAAAUAAAUUGGAGAUUUUGAGGACCGCCUUCUAUAUUUUAUUUGUGGCAACAGUAGCAUCUUCAAAACCAGUCAGUCUACAUGGAUUCCAAUUCAGAAGCAUGAUGGCUGACAGCCUGGAAUCGUCUGAGUCCUCGGAGUCCAGCAAGUCUUCCUCAGAGAAUGGUCAGCCAAUGGUCGCUGGCACUGAGAUCGCAAUACCAGACACUCAGGAGGAGACAGACCCACCAGACAGUGAAGCUAUAGCCUCUGAAACAGCCUCAGAAGUUGAUGAUGCUUUAAUUGCUUCACAAACCACACUUCAAACGGAUGCCUCAUCAGCAGAUGCACUAAAUGGGACAGACACUGAGGCUACCUCACAGCAUCCAGUCAUCAUCGCAUUGACUGAUUCUCCCAGUCUGACUUCUGAUAAUGUCACAACCCAUAUACGGUCUAUGGUCACAACGGCUCUGCCAUCAAUCACUGACACAGCCACAAUUCAAACAUUAUAUGUGGGCACAACUUCUCCCCCGGGCCCAUACCACAUACCCAUUAUGGAGCAGCCAACUCCUCCACCAGUCUCCCCAAUACCAAGCCUAACUCCCCAGCAGCUAGUUCCAUUGGGAACCACUGAUGACAUAGCUGGUGUGCCAGGUUGUUUUACUGUAGUAUACAUAACCAGCCCUCAUGCUCAGCCAGUUCCUGUUCGAGGUGAUAACAUUUAAAGCAGAGAGGAAGUUAUUAUAUCAUUGAUUAAAGUCAGACAUAAAAACUGGCUUCUUUUUUUCAUUUGUCUUUAUGAACAUAUGAGCACAUUGCAGCCACAUAGUGAGCUGGAGGGGCACCUGUGCUGCAACUGGCUGAAGCGCUCAUGAAAAUGAUUCACUAUAAUAUUUUGCACUAUAUAAGUGAUACAUAUGUAGAUGUACUGUACUUUAUAUUGCUCAGUGUCUUCCAUGAGUCAGUCUCACAUGUAUUUGUAUUUUUUCCCAUCUUUUAUCGUGUGAUUUAUUUUGAAAGGUGACACAGAUUGCAUUAACACUGUCAACAACAUUUUAGUCUAUUUGUAAAAGAGGACCCACCAUCUGUAAAUAAAUGCUCUUUAAACAUUUAGAAAAA